ACCCCCCUAAGUGGGAGAGUUGCCACCGGAUCCCAUAAGAACUCCGGAGUUAAGCGUGCUCAGGUGGGAGUAGUCACCGGAUGGGUGACCUCCCUGGGAAGUCCCAAGGUACGUGUGC
RNAcentral lists this ribosomal RNA (118 nucleotides) under Spirodela intermedia. Lineage: Eukaryota; Viridiplantae; Streptophyta; Magnoliopsida; Alismatales; Araceae. The record is from RNAcentral.